Molecule: small nuclear RNA, 164 nt
Filed under: Rhinopithecus bieti (black snub-nosed monkey)
Lineage: Eukaryota; Metazoa; Chordata; Mammalia; Primates; Cercopithecidae
Description: U1 spliceosomal RNA (ENSRBIG00000023162.1)
Rfam family: U1 spliceosomal RNA
About the family: U1 is a small nuclear RNA (snRNA) component of the spliceosome (involved in pre-mRNA splicing). Its 5' end forms complementary base pairs with the 5' splice junction, thus defining the 5' donor site of an intron.
Source: Rfam by way of RNAcentral
AUACUUACCUGGCAGGGGAGAUACCAUGAUCACGAAGGUGGUUUUCCCAGGGCGAGGCUUAUCCAUUGCCCUCCGGAUGUGCUGACCCCUGCGAUUUCCCCAAAUGUGGGAAACUCGACUGCAUAAUUUGUGGUAGUGGGGGACUGCGUUCGCGCUUUCCCCUA